CCUACGGGUGGCAGCAGUGGGGGAUAUUGCACAAUGGGGGGAACCCUGAUGCAGCGACGCCGCGUGGGUGAAGAAGCGCCUCGGCGCGUAAAGCCCUGUCAGCAGGGAAGAAAAUGACGGUACCUGAAGAAGAAGCCCCGGCUAACUACGUGCCAGCAGCCGCGGUAAUACGGAGGAUGCGAGCGUUAUCCGGAUUUAUUGGGUUUAAAGGGUGCGCAGGCGGCGUGUCAAGUCAGCGGUAAAAUGUCGGGGCUCAACCCCGGCCGGCCGUUGAAACUGGCGUGCUCGAGUUGGAGAGAAGUAUGCGGAAUUCGUGGUGUAGCGGUGAAAUGCAUAGAUAUCACGAAGAACCCCGAUUGCGAAGGCAGCAUACCGGCUCCACACUGACGCUGAGGCACGAAAGCGUGGGUAUCGAACAGGAUUAGAUACCCGUGUAGUC
This 439-nucleotide ribosomal RNA is filed under the name uncultured bacterium. RNAcentral describes it as "partial 16S ribosomal RNA". It matches the Rfam family "Bacterial small subunit ribosomal RNA", at positions 338 to 795 of the family's 1533-position model. The record is from RNAcentral.